CGUAGAUUUGUGUACGCGCACUUGUGUACAAAGUGAAUGGAGGUGGAAAUAGUUAAUAGGGUAGUGCGUGCGCGUGUGACUGAAUAAAGCGCUGCUGUAUGAAGUGAACGGUGGUUCCCUAUAUCACGAUAAUGCCGAAUGUCAUAAAGGUAAAACAAUAUAAAGAUUUCUCUUAGCAAAAUUACAGCCCUGUGUGGAUCAUAAAAACGUGUAUGGACAGGGUCGCGAUGGGUCGUUGUGUGGACCUCAGUCAGAUACUUAGUUCUGCAGACACAGAAACACGGGUAUGGGACUAGACUGGAUUAUGUACUGUCAAGUUUGUCGAUCGUAUCGACAGGGUUCCUGCCAGAAGAUUAUCUUUUCUUGUAAUUCAAUUGAUAAUUACGCACCACAAAUUAUUCAUCACCUUACAUAUAAUAUGAACGACAUUUUGAAUGGUUUUACUUACGGUAAAAUCCUCAUUCACCUCUCCGGUGACCUUCACUUCUGCUAAUUUCUUGGUUUCAUUUCGAAUCGUCGCGGCGAAAA
This is a long non-coding RNA of Lytechinus variegatus (green sea urchin), 528 nucleotides long. RefSeq lists it as uncharacterized. The record is from RefSeq and is a predicted model, not a curated record. The transcript has 2 exons. NCBI's taxonomy places the organism in Eukaryota, Metazoa, Echinodermata, Echinoidea, Temnopleuroida, Toxopneustidae.